AGCAGUAGCCGCGGGAAUACGAAGGGUGCAAGCGUUAAUCGGAAUUACUGGGCGUAAAGCGUGCGUAGGUGGUGGUUUAAGUCUGUUGUGAAAGCCCUGGGCUCAACCUGGGAAUUGCAGUGGAAACUGGAUCACUAGAGUGUGGUAGAGGAUAGUGGAAUUUCCGGUGUAGCAGCGAAAUGCGUAGAGAUCGGAAGGAACAUCUGUGGCGAAGGCGACUAUCUGGGCCAACACUGACACUGAGGCACGAAAGCGUGGGGAGCAAACAGGAUUAGAUACCCCCGUAGUCCCUGUCUCUUAUAC
Molecule: ribosomal RNA, 303 nt
Filed under: uncultured bacterium
Lineage: Bacteria
Description: partial 16S ribosomal RNA
Rfam family: Bacterial small subunit ribosomal RNA
Source: RNAcentral